UACGUAUGGGGCAAGCGUUAUCCGGAUUUAUUGGGCGUAAAGCGCGCGUAGGCGGAUCGUUAAGUCAGGUGUGAAAUCCGGGGGCUCAACCCGCGGCCUGCAUCUGAAACUGGCGGUCUUGAGUCUGGUAGAGGAAAGUGGAAUUCCUAGUGUAGCGGUGAAAUGCGCAGAUAUUAGGAGGAACACCAGUGGCGAAGGCGGCUUUCUGGGCCACGACUGACGCUGAGGCGCGAAAGCUAGGGGAGCAAACAGG
This 253-nucleotide ribosomal RNA is filed under the name uncultured bacterium. Its description in RNAcentral is "partial 16S ribosomal RNA". It matches the Rfam family "Bacterial small subunit ribosomal RNA", at positions 524 to 776 of the family's 1533-position model. The record is from RNAcentral.